RNAcentral lists this long non-coding RNA (421 nucleotides) under Carica papaya (papaya). Its description in RNAcentral is "long non-coding RNA (CPAP_LNC014634)". The record is from RNAcentral. Lineage: Eukaryota; Viridiplantae; Streptophyta; Magnoliopsida; Brassicales; Caricaceae.
GCCACGUCAGCAGCCACGUCAGCAGGCCCGGUCAGCAGUCCCGGCCAACCGGGGCCUGUCACGUGGCAAGACCGCGUCACUCCGAAAGGAGCCACGUUGGCGAUCCGCGUGGGUGCGAUCCGACGGCCCAAAUCAAUCGCGCGAUCGGACGGCCCAGAUUCAAUAGCACGGACGGCCCAAAUUCAAUCAAAAACGAACGGCCCAGAUUAAAACGAAAUGAACGGCUGUGAUCAAAAGGCAAGGGGUUAUAAAUAGAACCCCCACACCAGACCACAAACCCUAGCUGCCCGCCGCUCGCCGGAGAAGACGAACCAGAGGCCGACCGCCGCCACCCGCCGCCGCACCGGAGAAAUUUCCGACCGCCGAUCGAGGUUGACCGAAGCCGAAUCACCAAAACACGAACCUCGCCGGAGAGCCGCCG